AGUUCUUUAUUUUAUAGUAGAAUUUUUGGUUUUCAUUCAAAAGGAGAAAGAAUUG
This 55-nucleotide transfer RNA is filed under the name Globodera ellingtonae. RNAcentral describes it as "tRNA-Glu". The record is from RNAcentral. Lineage: Eukaryota; Metazoa; Nematoda; Chromadorea; Rhabditida; Heteroderidae.